RNAcentral lists this ribosomal RNA (1407 nucleotides) under metagenome. RNAcentral describes it as "bacterial SSU rRNA". It matches the Rfam family "Bacterial small subunit ribosomal RNA". The record is from RNAcentral.
GUGGCGAACGGGUGAGUAAUGUGCCGGAACGUACCAUUCAGUGGGGGAUAACGUAGCGAAAGUUACGCUAAUACCGCAUAUUCCGUGAGCAGGAAAGCAGGGGAUCGCAAGACCUUGCGCUGAUUGAGCGGCCGAUAUCAGAUUAGCUAGUUGGUGAGGUAAAGGCUCACCAAGGCGACGAUCUGUAGCGGGUCUGAGAGGAUGAUCCGCCACACUGGAACUGAGACACGGUCCAGACUCCUACGGGAGGCAGCAGUGGGGAAUUUUGGACAAUGGGGGCAACCCUGAUCCAGCCAUGCCGCGUGAGUGAAGAAGGCCUUCGGGUUGUAAAGCUCUUUCGGCCGGGAAGAAAUCGUAUGGGCUAAUACCCUGUGCGGAUGUCGGUACCGGCAUAAGAAGCACCGGCUAACUACGUGCCAGCAGCCGCGGUAAUACGUAGGGUGCGAGCGUUAAUCGGAAUUACUGGGCGUAAAGCGUGCGCAGGCGGUUUGAUAAGACAGGCGUGAAAUCCCCGGGCUCAACCUGGGAACUGCGUUUGUGACUGUCUCACUAGAGUACGGCAGAGGGGGGUGGAAUUCCACGUGUAGCAGUGAAAUGCGUAGAGAUGUGGAGGAACACCAAUGGCGAAGGCAGCCCCCUGGGUCGAUACUGACGCUCAUGCACGAAAGCGUGGGUAGCAAACAGGAUUAGAUACCCUGGUAGUCCACGCCCUAAACGAUGUCAACUAGGUGUUGGGAGGGUAAAACCUUUUAGUACCGGAGCUAACGCGUGAAGUUGACCGCCUGGGGAGUACGGCCGCAAGGUUAAAACUCAAAGGAAUCGACGGGGACCCGCACAAGCGGUGGAUGAUGUGGAUUAAUUCGAUGCAACGCGAAAAACCUUACCUACCCUUGACAUGUCCAGAAGCCCUUAGAGAUUUGGGUGUGCCCGAAAGGGAACUGGAACACAGGUGCUGCAUGGCUGUCGUCAGCUCGUGUCGUGAGAUGUUGGGUUAAGUCCCGCAACGAGCGCAACCCUUAUCGUUAAUUGCCAUCAUUUAGUUGGCACUUUAGCGAGACUGCCGGUGACAAACCGGAGGAAGGUGGGGAUGACGUCAAGUCCUCAUGGCCCUUAUGGGUAGGGCUUCACACGUCAUACAAUGGUCGGUGCAAAGGGUCGCCAACCCGCGAGGGGGAGCCAAUCCCAGAAAGCCGAUCGUAGUCCGGAUCGUAGGCUGCAACUCGCCUGCGUGAAGUCGGAAUCGCUAGUAAUCGUGGAUCAGCAUGUCACGGUGAAUACGUUCCCGGGUCUUGUACACACCGCCCGUCACACCAUGGGAGCGGGUUCCGCCAGAAGUAGGUAGCCUAACCGCAAGGAGGGCGCUUACCACGGCGGGGUUCGUGACUGGGGUGAAGUCGUAACAAGGUA